UACGUAUGGUGCAAGCGUUAUCCGGAUUUACUGGGUGUAAAGGGCGUGCAGCCGGGCGCUUAAGUCAGAUGUGAAAUCCGCGGGCUUAACCCGCGAACUGCAUUUGAAACUGAGCGUCUUGAGUAUCGGAGAGGUCAUCGGAAUUCCUAGUGUAGCGGUGAAAUGCGUAGAUAUGUGGAAGAACACCAGUGGCGAAGGCGGAUAACUGGACGGCAACUGACGGUGAGGCGCGAAAGCGUGGGGAGCAAACAGG
RNAcentral lists this ribosomal RNA (253 nucleotides) under uncultured bacterium. RNAcentral's name for it is "partial 16S ribosomal RNA". It matches the Rfam family "Bacterial small subunit ribosomal RNA", at positions 524 to 776 of the family's 1533-position model. The record is from RNAcentral.